RNAcentral lists this long non-coding RNA (205 nucleotides) under Mytilus galloprovincialis (Mediterranean mussel). The record is from RNAcentral. Lineage: Eukaryota; Metazoa; Mollusca; Bivalvia; Mytilida; Mytilidae.
GGCGGCCAUGUUGGUUGGUUGGACGGGUCGCCGGACACAUUUUUUAAAGUACAUACCCCAAUGAUGAUUGUGGCCAAGUUUGGUUUAAUUUGGCCCAGUAGUUUCAGAGGAGAAGAUUUUUGUAAAAGUUAACGACGACGACAGACGACGGACGCAAAGUGAUGGGAAAAGCUCACUUGGCCCUUUGGGCCAGGUGAGCUAAAAA